Molecule: ribosomal RNA, 589 nt
Filed under: uncultured bacterium
Lineage: Bacteria
Description: bacterial SSU rRNA
Rfam family: Bacterial small subunit ribosomal RNA
Source: RNAcentral
CCUACGGGAGGCAGCAGUGGGGGAAUUUUGGACAAUGGGCGCAAGCCUGAUCCAGCAAUGCCGCGUGAGUGAAGAAGGCCUUCGGGUUGUAAAGCUCUUUUGUCAGGGAAGAAACGGCUGAGGUUAAUACCUUCGGCUAAUGACGGUACCUGAAGAAUAAGCACCGGCUAACUACGUGCCAGCAGCCGCGGUAAUACGUAGGGUGCAAGCGUUAAUCGGAAUUACUGGGCGUAAAGCGUGCGCAGGCGGUUUUGUAAGUCUGACGUGAAAUCCCCGGGCUCAACCUGGGAAUUGCGUUGGAGACUGCAAGGCUGGAGUCUGGCAGAGGGGGGUAGAAUUCCACGUGUAGCAGUGAAAUGCGUAGAGAUGUGGAGGAACACCGAUGGCGAAGGCAGCCCCCUGGGUCAAGACUGACGCUCAUGCACGAAAGCGUGGGGAGCAAACAGGAUUAGAUACCCUGGUAGUCCACGCCCUAAACGAUGUCUACUAGUUGUCGGGUCUUAAUUGACUUGGUAACGUCAGCUAACGCGUGAAGUAGACCGCCUGGGGAGUACGGUCGCAAGAUUAAAACCGUCAAAGGAAUUGACGG